RNAcentral lists this ribosomal RNA (480 nucleotides) under uncultured Methanosaeta sp. RNAcentral's name for it is "bacterial SSU rRNA". It matches the Rfam family "Archaeal small subunit ribosomal RNA", at positions 856 to 1338 of the family's 1478-position model. Lineage: Archaea; Methanobacteriati; Methanobacteriota; Methanomicrobia; Methanotrichales; Methanotrichaceae. The record is from RNAcentral.
UCAAAGGAAUUGACGGGGGAGCACCACACGGGUGAGCUUGCGGUUUAAUUGGAUUCAACGCCGGAAAUCUUACCGGGACCGACAGCAAUAUGAAGGCCAGGCUGAAGACUUUACCGGAUUAGCUGAGAGGUGGUGCAUGGCCGUCGUCAGUUCGUACUGUGAAGCAUCCUGUUAAGUCAGGCAACGAGCGAGACCCACGCCCACAGUUGCCAGCGUACUCUCCGGAGUGACGGGUACACUGUGGGACCGCCGCUGCUAAAGCGGAGGAAGGAAUGGGCAACGGUAGGUCAGUAUGCCCCGAAUAUCCCGGGCUACACGCGAGCUACAAUGGUUGGUACAAUGGGUAUCUACCCCGAAAGGGGACGGGAAUCUCCUAAAACCAAUCUUAGUUCGGAUUGAGGGCUGCAACUCGCCCUCAUGAAGCUGGAAUCCGUAGUAAUCGCGUUUCAACAGAACGCGGUGAAUACGUCCCUGCUCCUU